This 459-nucleotide ribosomal RNA is filed under the name uncultured bacterium. RNAcentral describes it as "SSU rRNA". It matches the Rfam family "Bacterial small subunit ribosomal RNA", at positions 26 to 518 of the family's 1533-position model. The record is from RNAcentral.
AGAAUCAACGCUGGCGGCGUGCCUAACACAUGCAAGUCGAACGAGAAAGUGGAGCAAUCCAUGAGUAAAGUGGCGCACGGGUGAGUAACACGUGACUACCUACCCUUGAGUGGGGGAUAACCUAGGGAAACCUGGGCUAAUACCGCAUAACACCUUCGGGUCAAAGGAGCAAUUCGCUUAAGGAGGGGGUCGCGGCCGAUUAGUUAGUUGGCGGGGUAAUGGCCCACCAAGACGAUGAUCGGUAUCCGGCCUGAGAGGGCGCACGGACACACUGGAACUGAAACACGGUCCAGACUCCUACGGGAGGCAGCAGUGGGGAAUUUUGCGCAAUGGGGGAAACCCUGACGCAGCAACGCCGCGUGGAGGAUGAAGUCCCUUGGGACGUAAACUCCUUUCGUUCGGGACGAUUAUGACGGUACCGGAAGAAGAAGCCCCGGCUAACUUCGUGCCAGCAGCCGC